RNAcentral lists this small RNA (127 nucleotides) under Marmota monax (woodchuck). Lineage: Eukaryota; Metazoa; Chordata; Mammalia; Rodentia; Sciuridae. The record is from RNAcentral.
GCUGGAUGUGGUGGCACAUACCUGUAAUUCCAGUGACUUGGAAGGCUGAAACAGGAGGAUCACAAAUGCAAAGCCAUUCUGAGCAACUCACUAAGGCUCUAAGCAACUUAUUGAGACCCUGUUUCAA